UACGAAGGGGGCUAGCGUUGUUCGGAAUCACUGGGCGUAAAGAGCUCGUAGGUGGUUUGUCGCGUUGUUCGUGAAAACCGGGGGCUUAACCCUCGGCGUGCGGGCGAUACGGGCAGACUUGAGUACUGCAGGGGAGACUGGAAUUCCUGGUGUAGCGGUGGAAUGCGCAGAUAUCAGGAGGAACACCUAUUGCGAAGGCAGCUCGCUGGGACGUAACUGACGCUGAGACGCGAAAGCGUGGGGAGCAAACAGG
RNAcentral lists this ribosomal RNA (253 nucleotides) under uncultured bacterium. RNAcentral describes it as "partial 16S ribosomal RNA". It matches the Rfam family "Bacterial small subunit ribosomal RNA", at positions 524 to 776 of the family's 1533-position model. The record is from RNAcentral.